This 929-nucleotide long non-coding RNA is filed under the name Betta splendens (Siamese fighting fish). RNAcentral describes it as "lncRNA (ENSBSLG00000017860.1)". Lineage: Eukaryota; Metazoa; Chordata; Actinopteri; Anabantiformes; Osphronemidae. The record is from RNAcentral.
UGUUACCCUUAAUGGCAGAUACGUGACAAACGGCACCAUGGGAGCCAUUCAGGCAGAGCGUCGCAGCGACCGCUCGCUAAGGAGGGAACACGGAGGGUCGCGUGCACGACAAGCGGAGAGGGGACGCGUGAUGAGUGGCAGGAUGAGAUGGAUGCUGUUCCGCCUCCAAAUUACUGAGUGCGGCGUGUAAACAGGAUGCCACGCAGAGACGAGGCGGCGGCCGCUGCCUCAUCAGCAGCAGCAGCAGGAGGCGUGGCCGAGGGAAUUAUCAAGUUCAAUCACCAGCCAUUCGCUGCAAUUACAGAUGAACAUGGCCUCCGUGUGCCCCGUGUGGCAUCUGUUGCUGACAACGGCGAGAGAAACUCGCCUCCUACUGCUGCACAGAUUAGGUGUAGUCGCCAGCUGGACCACAUCAGUAGCGCCCGGCUGAGCUGCUCGGGGGGAAACGACUAAGAAGGAGGACUGGUGGAGGUGGCAACGUGAGCAGGUAGACGGGAUUAAAAAGACGGGGUUGAGAAGGUGGAUGAGCCCUUCAAAGCUGCUGAAGCAGACUCUGCUCUCCGUCCGUCAGGCAGCCGUCCUCCCCUCUGUGAUCUACCUCCUCCUGACCUCACCUGCUUCACACCAUCACUCUGUAACGGGCGACUCAACCUCUGCCCGGAGGCUGGUCUCCCUCCUUGGAUCCUCACCUUCCCGUAAGGCUGGGCUUUCAGGUCUGUUGUUUAGGAGGAACAGGAUCUCUCUGCUGGAUGCUCUAUGAAAACCAUGUGUGCCUAAAGAGCUCACGUCUGCUCUCACGUGGAGUUCCUGAACUCAUCCCUGUGUUUCCUGCAGAGACUGGUCCAGAGUGAUCUAUGCAGCUCCCGUGUCAAUACAAACAUACAGCACAAUGCAAUGUACGGGUGCUUGUCUUAGUGAUUUAAAAACAG